CCUGUACCAAAGAAAUUAAUUCAUCAAGAAUUUUAUCACAAUCUAUUAACGAACCUGAGUUUGGUUGGGCAUAUUGUAUAUGAGGUUGUGGUGGCUGCGCAGGUCUUGAAUAGAACUCCUCAUAUGGCUGCCAAUAUCCUUUGUGUUGAAGUUGUUGAGAUUCCCACCACAUAGAGUUUGAAUGAUCACUCUAAUCUGAAUUGUACAUGUUAGAAAACAAAUUGUUCACUGAUUGAUUAUGAUUUUGAUAACCCAAGGUAUUGACAUUCCCCCAACCUCUUUGUGGACGUUGAUUUGCUUGAUAUUUUUGCCUAUAAGAGGCACCAAAUGUAGGGACACUUUGCCUUGUGGUCCUUUCGAUAUAUUGCAUUAACUAAGAACUAAGAUUCGUUAUUUGAGCUUGAAGAUUAGCAAUUGCCAUGUCUUACUUCUCUAGUACCUAAAAUCAAAGAAAGAAAACUAAAUCAAAUAUCAAAAGUAAAAUAAGCAGAACAGGGUGAUUAGCAAUUUUGCUAAUCCCUAACAGCAGCGCCAAAAUUUGAUGUGAAAUUUAACUAACACACAAAUUAAACCCUAUUAAACAUGUAAUUGUAGUAUUAAGCAAGUAGGGAAUGUUCUAGACCGGGGAUUAACUAGGGAUGCUAAUCAACACAAAUAAGACUCAAAAACACUAAAUUAGACUCUUUAGACUCAAAACUGACUCAAAACACUCAAAACAGCAACAAACAAUAGAAAAGACUCAAUUCUAGACCUAACAAGUGAUUUUGACGAAAAUAAACUUAACUUCACUCAAAGGAUUAAAAGAAAACAGAUUAUGACUCAACUAACAAGACUUAAUGAAUGGGGGAUUGUUUUUGAUGAAUUUAAAACUUAAAACAGAAACUUUGCAUAAAACACUUUAUAAAAACGAAUUUGGUGAAUUGGAAAAGGGUGAAAGGCUAGUUAGAGGGUCCCACAUGACAUAUGUAUACAAACCAAUUUCCAGUUAUUAUUCCUUUAAACUAUGAAUGACAACACCCCAAGUUAACCAUGAUAGCACAAAUUAACCAUCAGAUUUUCCUUAACUCAUUGAAUUUGAUGGAAUACGCAUCGCAACCAAAUUAUUCUUAUCAAGUUCCCUAACUAUGAAAAGCAUAAUAGAAAGACAUAUCAAAGGUCAUUAAGUUCUUUGAAAACCAUAAGCAUUGACGAAGCAUUCGUAACUAUGAAAAGCAUGAUACUCCUACCAGGAAUUUACUUAACACAAUCAUGACUAGUGACUUCCACUACUUGUGAAUAUAAGUUCAUAACGAUUAGGUGAAACUCCCUUAUACUCUAGCAUCAAAUUCAUGCAUGCAAAUUAAGUGUGAACCCUCAAUCUAUAGACAUAAAUAAGUUUCGAUAACUCAGAUAAGCAAAUCACAUUCAAGAUUAAGAAACAAUAACUGAAUGUAAUCAAUUCACAUAAAACAUAUAAUCAUGGCUUCAAAUUCACCUCCAAUUAUAAAGAAAUUAGUUCCUCAUGUUCGCAAUUAAGCAAAGACAAUUAAAUUUAAACAUUGAAAACAAAGAUAGAAUACACCUAGAAACGCUCCAACAAUCCAACGUCUUGAAUGGCAAGUAAAGUGAAAAUUAACUUGACGCACAAAUUAAACCCUAUUGAUGACAAUUGUAGUAAAGAUGUAAGUAGGGAUCGUUCUAGACCGAGGAUUAACUAGGGAUGCUAAUCAACACAAAUAAGACUCAAAAACACUAAACUAGACCCUAAAACAGAAAGCUAGACUCUAAAACAGAAAACUAGACUCUUAUGACUCAAAACUGACUCAAAACACUCGAAACAGCAACAAACAAUCAAAAAGACUCAAUUCUAGACCUAACAAGUGAUUUUGACAAAAACAAGACUUAACUUGACACAAAAGACUAAAAGAAAACAGAUUAUGACUCAACUAACAAGACUUAAUGAAAGGGGGAAUGUUUUUGACGAAUUUAAAACUUAAAACAUAAACUUUGCAUAAAACACUUUAAGAAAACGAAUUUGAUGAAUUGAUAAAGGUGAAAGGCUAGUUAGAAGGUCCUUCUCCACACAUGACAUAUGCAAACAAACCAAUUUCCAAUAUUGUUCCUUUAAACCAUGAAUGACAACACCCCAAGUUAACCGUUACAGCACAAAUUAACCAUCAGAUUUUCCUUAACUCAUUGAAUUGGACGAGAUACGCAUCACAACCAAAUUAUCCUUCUCAAGUUCCGUAACUAUGAAAAACAUGAUAGAAAAACAUAUCAAAGGUCAUUAAGUUCUUUGAAAACCAUAAGCAUUAACAAGGCAUUCGCAACUAUGAAAAGCAUGAUACUCCUGCCAAGGAUUCACUUAACACAAUCAUGACUAGUGACUUCCACUACUUGUGAAUAUUAGUUCAUAACGAUUAGGUGAAACUCCCUUAUACUCUAGCGUCAAGUUUAUGCAUGCAAACUAAGUAUACAUCCUCAAUCAACAUACAUGAACAAGUUUUGAUAACUUAGAUAACCAAAUCACAUUCAAGACUCAAGAAACAAUAACUGGAUGUAAUCAAUUCAUAUAAAGCAUAUAAUCAUGGCUUCGAAUUCACCUCUAACUAAAAAGUAAUUAGUUCCUCAUGUUCACAAUUAAACAAGGACAAUUAAAUUUAAACAUUGAAAACAAAGAUAGAAUACACCUAGAAACACUCCAACAAUCCAUCAUCUUGAAUGGCAAGCACAGCUCCAAGUGGCUCCUUCUUCUCAUUCCUUGCACAGCUGCGGCACUAAAGGGAUGUAUGGCAUAAAUUUGUGGUGAAUGGUGUAGAAAAAUAUGGUAGAGAAUGGUGAUUUGAAUGAAAGUUGCAGUACUUGUAUUUAUAGGGAGAAAAGGCACGGCCUAAGUAGCAUUGGAGAAGGAUUGGCACUCCAAAACCCAAGUGGAAUGGGUUAAAACAAUCAGAAACCAAGGGGAAUUAGGUUUACAGGUUCUAGAGCUUCUAGAAUAGGGGGAGGCGCCAAAUUUGUAGGGACUUCUAGAAAGAGUGCUAUGUGGCUGAUUUCUAGAAGAAUAAGGCCUAAAAUAUGCGGCACCAUUGUAAGAAUAGAUAAGGCUUACUGAAUCAUAGGGAAAAAGGAUUAGGAAAUUCAGCCAAAGCUUUUAGAAUGGAAUAUCUUGUAGAUUUCUAGAUGAAAAGCAAUAAAAGGUGCUACACCAAUCUAGGGCAAGUGAUAAGGCUUCUACAAAGAGGCAUUUAGGUAAUUUAAUGUGUAAUUGAUCCCCCCUUGCAGCUGGAAUUAAGGUAUGAUAAGAUUAGGAUAUGAUAAGAUAAGAUAAGGUUAGUUUGGAUAAGAUAAGGUUGGAUAAUGUUUGGCCCUUUUAGCUGAUUCCUUAUCUUCUUUGUCUUGAAUUUAUUUUCUUCAUCUCCUUAGCAUAUUCCUAGCCUUUUGAACUUCAAAAAUGUCCAUCCAAAGUGCUCCCCAUGCAUGCUAUGAAGGGAAAUAAUGAGAUUUAUGUGGGAUUUCUAGUGACUAGCAUGCAUAUACAAUUCAAAAUUUAUAUACAUUAGCAACAGAAGCAUGUUAUCACAUAAUAUCAAAGCUAUAGUCAUGCAAAUCCCCUUCAAGAAGCAUAGGUUCAUAUAUGAUGCAUCUAAGAAAUUAUUGAAGAACAAAGUGAAGGUAUAGUUUUAUACCUUUUGAUCUAGACUUGAGACCAAGGAUGGACCACCUCCAAGCUCUUUGUUCUUGGAACUCCUUGAGCCUAGCCUCCCUCCUUUCUUCCUCCACCUUGCUAGAAUGAGUGCUCCUUGGUUCUCCUUUAGUCUCCAAGGUUGAAGACCUCUAAAGAUCCACACCCACUAGUGUAGUGAGAUGGAAGGAGGAAUAACCAAAAGGGAGAGAAGAUGAUUAGCUACUUCUCCCUUAUGGUGGCCGGCCUUGUGUGUGUUUUGGAGAGAGAUGUUUUCUUCUUUUGUGAAAAAUGAACACACAAAACCCUAAUGAAACUUUUCACUAAAAGUUCCUUUUAUAUCUCAAAGAUAGUUAGCCAACAACUUGACUUCCUCUCUCUCCCUUUCCCUUUAUUUGGCCGGCCCAUUUAGUGUUGUUUGGGCUUUGGGCUUUUAUUAUUUCAAGUCAUCCUAUGCUUAAAUAAAAGCCCAAUGGAUUUGGGCUUAAUGGGCCCAUAUUAACCCGAACUUUUCUUUAAGUCCAAAAAUGAUCUUUCAUCGCUUCUAUGAUUUCUUUAAACUUUCUAAUUAAUCAUAACACUUAAUUAAUCCAAUUAAUUUAUUCCAUCAUCCAUUAGUUGUCUCAUUACAAGAAUGUAUCGGUGUACAAUCAUUUUAGGUUCUAAUUAGCAAGGUAGUGAGGUGAUUGGCACCAAUCCAAUUGAUUAUAUUUAAUCCAAUCACUUAGUGAAUUAAAACUUACUUGUAAUUCUCCUUCUUCUUUGACGACUACUUAUUUAAUCAUCUAGAAGAACUCACAAGCCAUGAGUGACAUCUAACCAUAUAUCAUAGCUACCCAAGCUAAUGUAGAAUUUGUUCGGAGAACCUAUUCAGUUGGAAUUACAAUGUAAUUCGAUCCUUCUCUAAAACAAUACUCUCAAUCACAUUAUUAGGGUAUGGAUAUAUUAUGUCAAACCCCUAAUGUGAUUAUUCCAUGUUAUAUGAUUCAACUAAGUCGUAUAGGAACGCUUUCCUUUAUUAUGCUCAAUACUUCGGCCGAAGAUUCCCGAAUCAUAUCUUAGAGUAUUCAUCCUCUCAUAACGAGGAUUAAAGAUCCCUUGUUAAUCAUUCACAUGCCUCUGAGAAUAAAUCACUGACCCCAACAAUGCAUAGAACACACCUAAGAUGAGGUGUGGUCAUAUCUCAUUAUCAAAAUGAUCAGCAACGUAUCCCCAAGACAACUAUGAUGUCUCGGGUCAAAGGAUUACUUA
Molecule: long non-coding RNA, 4912 nt
Filed under: Malus domestica (apple)
Lineage: Eukaryota; Viridiplantae; Streptophyta; Magnoliopsida; Rosales; Rosaceae
Description: long non-coding RNA (MDOM_LNC021194)
Source: RNAcentral